RNAcentral lists this long non-coding RNA (263 nucleotides) under Chinchilla lanigera (long-tailed chinchilla). Its description in RNAcentral is "lncRNA (ENSCLAG00000023427.1)". The record is from RNAcentral. Lineage: Eukaryota; Metazoa; Chordata; Mammalia; Rodentia; Chinchillidae.
UUGCCAAAAUUCUAAUGGAGAAAAAAGGGGGCUGCCCAGUAAUUUUCUUUUCCUCUGACAUUUCAGCACUCCUCCAGUACAUUGCUGUAAUGAAAAUUGGCAGCUCUUGAGAAAAACUAUGCAUUCAGGAGAGAGCACCUGCUACAUGGACCAUGAAUGGCAGGGGAGCCUCUCCAGCCAAACUAUGAAGCCAUUCUUCAAGUGCAUUAGUGGUAAUCCUGCUAGAUAUCCACAGGAGUUCCAGUUCCUUGAAUGAUUAGUUG